CAGCAGCCACGGGAAUACGGAGGGUGCAAGCGUUAUCCGGAUUUAUUGGGUUUAAAGGGUCCGUAGGCGGACUUAUAAGUCAGUGGUGAAAGCCUGUCGCUUAACGAUAGAACUGCCAUUGAUACUUUAAGUCUUGAGUAUAUUUGAGGUAGCUGGAAUAAGUAGUGUAGCGGUGAAAUGCAUAGAUAUUACUUAGAACACCAAUUGCGAAGGCAGGUUACCAAGAUAUAACUGACGCUGAGGGACGAAAGCGUGGGUAGCGAACAGGAUUAGAUACCCCCGUAGUCCCUGUCUCUUAUAC
This 301-nucleotide ribosomal RNA is filed under the name uncultured bacterium. RNAcentral's name for it is "partial 16S ribosomal RNA". It matches the Rfam family "Bacterial small subunit ribosomal RNA", at positions 509 to 807 of the family's 1533-position model. The record is from RNAcentral.